This 249-nucleotide ribosomal RNA is filed under the name Minchinia chitonis. RNAcentral describes it as "partial Eukaryotic small subunit ribosomal RNA". It matches the Rfam family "Eukaryotic small subunit ribosomal RNA", at positions 1428 to 1678 of the family's 1831-position model. Lineage: Eukaryota; Endomyxa; Ascetosporea; Haplosporida; Haplosporidiidae. The record is from RNAcentral.
GUGCAACGAAUGGAAGUUUGAGGCAAUAACAGGUCUGUGAUGCCCUUAGAUGUUCUGGGCCGCACGCGCGCUACACUGACGAAUGCAACGAGCUUAUAACCUUGGCCGAAAGGUCUGGGUAAUCUCCAAAUUUCGUCGUGAUGGGGAUAGAUUAUUGCAAUUAUUAAUCUUCAACGAGGAAUGCCUAGUAAGCGCAAGUCAUCAGCUUGCGUUGAUUACGUCCCUGCCCUUUGUACACACCGCCCGUCG